RNAcentral lists this ribosomal RNA (608 nucleotides) under Asterella africana. RNAcentral's name for it is "eukaryotic LSU rRNA". It matches the Rfam family "Eukaryotic large subunit ribosomal RNA", at positions 42 to 640 of the family's 3401-position model. Lineage: Eukaryota; Viridiplantae; Streptophyta; Marchantiopsida; Marchantiales; Aytoniaceae. The record is from RNAcentral.
AUCACUAAGCGGAGGAAAAGAAACUAACAAGGAUUCCCCUAGUAGCGGCGAGCGAACCGGGAGAAGCCCAGCUUGAAAAUCGCACCGUUUCGCGGCGCGAGUUGUAGUCUGGAGAAGUGUCCUCUGCGGCGGACCCGGCUUAAGUCCCCUGGAAAGGGGCGUCAGAGAGGGUGAGAACCCCGUCGGGCCGGGACCCUGCCGCUCCACGAGGCGCUGUCGACGAGUCGGGCUGUUUGGGAAUGCAGCCCUAAGUGGGAGGUAAAUUCCUUCCAAGGCUAAAUACGGGCGGGAGACCGAUAGCGAACAAGUACCGCGAGGGAAAGAUGAAAAGGACUUUGAAAAGAGAGUUAAAAAGUGCUUGAAAUUGCUGGGAGGGAAGCGAAUGGAGGCCUCGUGUGCGCCCCGGUCGGAUGCGGAACGGCGCGAGCUGGUCCGCCGCUCGACGCGGGGUGCUGGUCGGCGUGGGCUUCCCCGGCGGGACAAAAGUCGGCCUUCAGUGGCCGGCCGAUGCCGUCGAGGAGGCCGAGGAACGAAGUGCGCGUCCCCCCCGGGGGACGGGUUCUCUUCGGAGAACACCUGCGCACUCGGGACGCCGGCGUAGUGGGCUU